CCAUAUUAAAGACAGCCCUGGCUGCCACACCUGGCGUUGGCUGCCCCCACUGCAAUAGUUUGAAGAAACCUGUGGUCCAGGCACUCUGGUUUUAAUUAAACAGCAGAUUUAUUCGAAAAAAAGUGCAAUGUUUUAAUCUCAAAGAGAUCUUUCUCAAGCUAACACCAAAGUGUGACAAUACAGAUUAUAUAGGCUAUACAAUUUAUAAUAUGAUAAAUUAAAAUAUGGGGUCGUCAUUGUAACGUUCACUAGUGAACCCUAACUUGCAGACAGGACAGAGUAGAGAGAAUUGCAAUACCGAUCCUUAGAAUGGUCGGGCUAUGCCAAAAGGGAUAGUCAAAACACGAGCCGAGGUCAAGGGUAACAGAGAGAUGGAAUAACGAGAGACAAAGCCAAAUAUCAGUAACCAGGAAAUCCAAAUAACAAGUGCAACGCUCAAUGGUAAACCAAAGACCACAACAGGGCACUGAGGCAAGGGAGAGGUUAGCUUAUAUACACACAGGGUGUGUCUGAUUGGCUAACCUCCAAUUAGUGUUAACCACAACACGUGGGAGGGGUUUCAUCACUGUCUGCCGGGUCACAUGACCGGGUGCAGCACACAUAUAAGGAAGCUGCUCUGCAGCGUGCAGAGCCAGUCUGGAGGCAGGGACCAGAUUACGCCGCUCGCUGUGAUGAGGUGAGCAAGGUCGCUGCGAGCGGCGCGGGGGCAGGGGACCUGACAGCCAUGACAGAAUGGUGCUUGCAAAGCUCUAGAUUUAAACUCUAUCUUUGCUCAGAGAGCACAGCAAAGCUUUCUGGGAGUUUUAGUUCAGAUAACAGUUUCCGUAAUUACAAAGCUGACUCCUCCCCUGAGGAGACCUUAGGCUGUGCACAGAGAGCUUUGAAAUGUGCUAGUUGGUGUGGCAUUAAACAUGUCCUACAGGUCAGACUCCACAGUCUGGAAGAAGGGAUUCGUACUGGCUUAGCUUCCUUUUGAAGUGGGCAAAGCCUCAGGAUGAUGAUGUAAUUGGGUAACGAAC
This is a non-coding RNA of Pelobates cultripes (western spadefoot toad), 1019 nucleotides long. Lineage: Eukaryota; Metazoa; Chordata; Amphibia; Anura; Pelobatidae. The record is from the annotation of a GenBank genome assembly.